CUUAGAGUUUGAUCCUGGCUCAGGAUGAACGCUGGCGGCGUGCCUAAUACAUGCAAGUCGAACGAAUCUCUUUUAGAGAUGAGUGGCGAACGGGUGAGUAAUACAUAGGUAACCUGCCCCUGUGCGGGGGAUAACAGGAGGAAACUCCUGCUAAUACCGCAUAGCCAUGAGCACCGCAUGGAGCUCAUGCCAAAUAUCCUUUCGGGGAUAGCGCAGGGAUGGACCUAUGGCGCAUUAGCUGGUUGGCGGGGCAACGGCCCACCAAGGCAACGAUGCGUAGCCGGCCUGAGAGGGCGGACGGCCACAUUGGGACUGAGACACGGCCCAGACUCCUACGGGAGGCAGCAGUAGGGAAUUUUCGGCAAUGGGGGAAACCCUGACCGAGCAACGCCGCGUGAGCGAAGAAGGCCUUCGGGUCGUAAAGCUCUGUUGUAAAGGAAGAACGGCGCAUACAGGAAAUGGUAUGCGAGUGACGGUACUUUACCAGAAAGCCACGGCUAACUACGUGCCAGCAGCCGCGGUAAUACGUAGGUGGCGAGCGUUAUCCGGAAUCAUUGGGCGUAAAGAGGGAGCAGGCGGCCGCAAGGGUCUGUGGUGAAAGACCGAAGCUAAACUUCGGUAAGCCAUGGAAACCGGGCGGCUAGAGUGCGGAAGAGGAUCGUGGAAUUCCAUGUGUAGCGGUGAAAUGCGUAGAUAUAUGGAGGAACACCAGUGGCGAAGGCGACGGUCUGGGCCGCAACUGACGCUCAUUCCCGAAAGCGUGGGGAGCAAAUAGGAUUAGAUACCCUAGUAGUCCACGCCGUAAACGAUGGUCACUAAGUGUCGGGGGUCAAACCCCGGUGCUGCAGUCAACGCAAUAAGUGACCCGCCUGAGUAGUACGUUCGCAAGAAUGAAACUCAAAGGA
Molecule: ribosomal RNA, 905 nt
Filed under: uncultured bacterium
Lineage: Bacteria
Description: bacterial SSU rRNA
Rfam family: Bacterial small subunit ribosomal RNA
Source: RNAcentral